RNAcentral lists this ribosomal RNA (433 nucleotides) under uncultured bacterium. RNAcentral describes it as "partial 16S ribosomal RNA". It matches the Rfam family "Bacterial small subunit ribosomal RNA", at positions 29 to 507 of the family's 1533-position model. The record is from RNAcentral.
AACGAACGCUGGCGGCAUGCCUAAUACAUGCAAGUCGAACGCGACCUUCGGGUCUAGUGGCUCACGGGUGGGUAACGCGUGGGAACCUGCCCUUAGGUUCGCAAUCACUUCGCGAAAGGGGUGCUUUUGCAGGAUAAUGUCUUCGGACCAAAGAUUUAUCGUCUGUGGAUAGGCCCGCGUAGGAUUAGCUUGUUGGUAGGGUAAAAGGCUACCAAGGCGACGAUCCAUAGCUGGUCUGAGAGGAUGAUCAGCCACACUGGGACUGGGACACGGCCCAGACUCCUACGGGAGGCAGCAGUGGGGAAUAUUGGACAGUGGGCGAAAGCCUGAGCCAGCAAGGCCGCGUGAGUGAUGAAGGCCUUAGGGUUGUAAAGCUCUUUUACCCGGGAUGAUAAUGACAGUACCUGAAGAAUAAGCUACGGCUAACUCCGUG